RNAcentral lists this long non-coding RNA (2539 nucleotides) under Sus scrofa (pig). Its description in RNAcentral is "lncRNA (ENSSSCG00000052339.1)". The record is from RNAcentral. Lineage: Eukaryota; Metazoa; Chordata; Mammalia; Artiodactyla; Suidae.
GCUACCUAAAAAAAAUCAGGCAAUUGAUCAAAAGUUAAGUUUAUUAUAUGAUUUUCCUGCUAUUUCCCCUUCCCUAUAGUGUUUUCCCUAAUUUUACUAAAAUAUUAACCUUCUCAUAGGCUCUAUAUGCUUAUAAAUUUGAUGAAUAUGUCUAUACACUGAGCUCAUCCUUACCCUGAAUUAAAAUGCAAAAAUAUUCAGUAGAAUAAGAAAUAUUUCAGUAGAAUAAGAAUAUUUCCAAAGCUUUGGUUUAAAAACAUGCUUCUAAGAAAUUUGACUUUUCCAGUGACCUAAAUAUUCUUUAAGCAGCUGGCUUCCCUGGGAUGUGCAGCACCUAAUUGAAGUAGUUUCAUAACCACCCUUGUUCUUCACGUGUUUAAUGAACAACUCAAAGUAGCACAUCAGUCACUUGGCUAAUAAGCAUUCUCUGAAGUUCAUAGAAAUGUAGGGAAAGGCUUCCUUUAUUCUUCCACUGUGUAUUAUGUUCCCCAAGCAUGUAUUAUUAUUAUUCUUAUUACCCAGUUGAACUAGUCUAAUUUGCAGUUGGAUAAAUCAUAAGCCAGUUGAUUCUCAAGCCUCUCCAAGUUAUUACUUUACUUUAUCCAAAGAUUUUAUAGCAGAGAACACUGGGGAUAUUCCAGAUGACUCAAAGUUAUUUCUUUCUCUCUCUCUAAUGCUUAUAAAAGUCCAAAAAACUCUUAUACAGUAGAAAACUCCCAUAAAUAAUUAGUAUUGCCUUACAUUGGUAAAAAACAAAAAUACUUAAAGCAAUCCAUUAAAACGAAAGGUUACCACACUCAAAAGUGCUAGUUUUUCCAUAUAUGGAACUAUAUUGGUUCCUAAUAUAUAACUGGAAUAUAUUGGUUCUUAAAAUGUUUUUGCAGGUAGGUAUUUCUAGGUCUGGCCACCCAGAAUCCAAAUCCCCUUCCUAUAAUAGUAAUAACACCCUAAUGAGUGGGGAGUAUAAAACCCACCUCAGUUUAGACUAUGCUGCAGGGAACACGUUUAUCACAUUGUAUCCAAGACUGGGACCCAAGCUAAACUGAUCUUUGAUUCCAUUACUCUGCCCCCAGAAAUGGUUUAGUGACAUGCACAUCACAUAAUGUGAUCUAGCAAAAACAAGAACUAUUAUUCAGUACCUGGAAGAGGAGACUGAUUAGGAAUCAUGCUAAUUUAGGGUUCCCUGGCAGCCAUCUUGGGAGAUCUAGGAGGAAAGUCUGUUGAAAAUAAAGCAAACCCACAGAAUGGAGCUCCUAAGUGGAAAGAGGAGAGGAAAAUCAGGUCUGCUCACAUCACUUGAGCCACUGGAUCAAUUUUCACUUGUAGUCAGAUCACUCUGUGAAGUUUUCAGUUAUGAGAGUCAUUCAUUUUUAAACCAGGUUGACUUGGCUUUCCAAUUUCCUAUAAAUAAAAAUAUCUCAAAUAAGAGUUCCCAUUGUUGCUUAGUAGAAAUAAAAUUGACUGGUAUCCAUGAGGAUGCGGGUUUGAGCCUUGGCCCUGCUCGGUGGGUUAAAGGAUCUGGUGUUGCAAUGAGCUGAGGCCAGCAGCUGUAGCGCUGAUUUGACCCCUAGCCUGGGAACUUUCACAUGCCAUGGGUGGAGCCUGAAAAAGCCAAAACAAAACAAAACAAAAAAUUCAGUGAUAGAAGUGUCCAUAGAGGAAGCUAUGAUUCUGGGUGUACUAAAUACUAGUUUCAGGAACAUAAAUAUAAACAAGAUGUUAUUUCCACCCUCAACCUACAGCAAAGUUCUCUUUCCGGGCUCCUCAAUGAUACAUGGAUUAAGGAAUCCUGUUUUUCACUUUCUUAUACCAACUACACACAAAAAAAUAUGGAUAUGGUUGUCCUGAUUCUCAGGCAAACAAUAUUUCAUUUCAGUUUAGCAGCACUCCUGCUAAGUUGGUUCAGAUAGAUGUGAAAUGUAUGGGGUCCACAAGAUUUUCGGAUUCAUUAUGCCUAUUUAAAGAUGACUCAACCAUAAAAAUAAAAAAUAAAAAAAAGAUGACUCAACCAAUAAACAGAUUUUGAUGAUGUUCACAAAGAAGGAGCAUGGUCCUAGGACUUAGCAGACUUCCCAUUGUUCUGUCCUUCCGAUUUGACUAUGACAACUGAACUGCUGGGAAAGUCAGUAUCUUACAAAAUCCCUAAUACCCUACCCACCCACCUGCAGCUCUAUAUGGUCCUCAUUUCUAGAUGCAUAAAGUUCCCCUUAUUUGUAUUAAUACAAGAGAAAGAUGUUUACCACCUUUUUUUUUUUUUUUUUUUUGUCUUUUGUCUUUUGUCUUUGUUGUUGUUGUUGUUGUUGUUGUUGUUGCUAUUUCUUGUUCCUGAGGUUCCCAGGCUAGGGAUCCAAUCGGAGCUGUAGCCACCGGCCUACGCCAGAGCCACAGCAACGAGGGAUCCAAGCCGCGUCUGCAACCUACACCACAGCUCAGGGCAACGCCGGAUCGUUAACCCACUGAGCAAGGGCAGGGACCGAACCCGCGACCUCAUGGUUCCUAGUCGGAUUCGUUAACCACUGCGCCACGACGGGAACUCCCA